AACGCUGGCGGCGUGCCUAAUACAUGCAAGUCGAACGCUUUUUCUUUCACCGGAGCUUGCUCCACCGAAAGAAAAGGAGUGGCGAACGGGUGAGUAACACGUGGGUAACCUGCCCAUCAGAAGGGGAUAACACUUGGAAACAGGUGCUAAUACCGUAUAACAAUCGAAACCGCAUGGUUUCGGUUUGAAAGGCGCUUUUGCGUCACUGAUGGAUGGACCCGCGGUGCAUUAGCUAGUUGGUGAGGUAACGGCUCACCAAGGCAACGAUGCAUAGCCGACCUGAGAGGGUGAUCGGCCACAUUGGGACUGAGACACGGCCCAAACUCCUACGGGAGGCAGCAGUAGGGAAUCUUCGGCAAUGGACGCAAGUCUGACCGAGCAACGCCGCGUGAGUGAAGAAGGUUUUCGGAUCGUAAAACUCUGUUGUUAGAGAAGAACAAGGAUGAGAGUAAAAUGUUCAUCCCUUGACGGUAUCUAACCAGAAAGCCACGGCUAACUACGUGCCAGCAGCCGCGGUAAUACGUAGGUGGCAAGCGUUGUCCGGAUUUAUUGGGCGUAAAGCGAGCGCAGGCGGUUUCUUAAGUCUGAUGUGAAAGCCCCCGGCUCAACCGGGGAGGGUCAUUGGAAACUGGGGAACUUGAGUGCAGAAGAGGAGAGUGGAAUUCCAUGUGUAGCGGUGAAAUGCGUAGAUAUAUGGAGGAACACCAGUGGCGAAGGCGGCUCUCUGGUCUGUAACUGACGCUGAGGCUCGAAAGCGUGGGGAGCAAACAGG
RNAcentral lists this ribosomal RNA (772 nucleotides) under uncultured Bacilli bacterium. RNAcentral's name for it is "bacterial SSU rRNA". It matches the Rfam family "Bacterial small subunit ribosomal RNA", at positions 32 to 776 of the family's 1533-position model. The record is from RNAcentral. Lineage: Bacteria; Bacillati; Bacillota; Bacilli.